UGUAUAGCUCAGUGGUUAGAGCACCCGGCUUGGCCGGGUGGCGCGGGUCCGAAUCCCGAUACAA
Molecule: transfer RNA, 64 nt
Filed under: Fusobacterium naviforme
Lineage: Bacteria; Fusobacteriati; Fusobacteriota; Fusobacteriia; Fusobacteriales; Fusobacteriaceae
Also listed under: 1 other name
Description: tRNA-Gln
Rfam family: tRNA
About the family: Transfer RNA (tRNA) molecules are approximately 80 nucleotides in length. Their secondary structure includes four short double-helical elements and three loops (D, anti-codon, and T loops).
Source: RNAcentral